This 1101-nucleotide long non-coding RNA is filed under the name Oryza sativa tropical japonica subgroup. RNAcentral describes it as "lncRNA OsCMeo_03g0035150". The record is from RNAcentral. Lineage: Eukaryota; Viridiplantae; Streptophyta; Magnoliopsida; Poales; Poaceae.
CAAAUUGACAAGCUCGAGAAAGUUCUGGUGCGAGGACCCUCCCUCUUGGAUGCUUGCACGGGCCGUGGUCUUCAGUGUCACCGCUCUUUCUUUGAUCUCCUUGAGCUGCGCCGCCUUGUUCUUGAUCUCCUCCUGUGUGACAACCCCUUGCUUGUCUCGGAAAAGCUUAAUCAUAAGAACGGGACACCGUGCAGUACACCUUCCAUUGUUGAGUUCCACCCACAGUGCGACAUGAAGCAAGCGAUUGAAGGGUGUGAUAGUACUCGUUGCUGGGGAGCCCAGCUAAUAACCAACCCCUUGCCCUUGAUACGGUCGGACAACCCACAGAAAUGGUUGGUCAGAGACGGCAAGCCCGUUAGCAAGCUCAUGGAACUGAGCUAUGUCAAAGAUGGUGGAGCUCCCAAAGGCCACAUAGAUAACGGAGCCGGGGGCCUGUGUGUCGAGCCAGGCAAGAAAUGGCCUGUUGGCCCCGAAGCAGGUGCUAAAAGUGGGCCGACAGGCAGUGCAUUUGAGAGGAGUUCCAAUGCUUCGGAUUCUAUCUCCCUGAAAGAAUGGUGCAUCCUGCGAUGGAGCCAUACUGCCAUGAAGCAAGUUUUCAUGGGAGGACCCUCCCUCUGCUAUGCUUGUGCAUGCCGCAUGCUUCCACUUUGCUGCCCUCGCCUUGAUCUCCUUGUCGUCAACCAGCUGCUCGACCUUGUUCUUGAUCUCCUCCUUGGUGACAACCCCUCGCUCAUCCGCCUGGAGCUUCACUCCAGUCCCCCACACAUUGCAUAUGUAGCUCUGUACUGGUCGGCGAAGUACGGCCAGCACAGAAACGGCACACCAUGCCGGAGCCCUUCCAUCGUCGAGUUCCACCCGCAGUGCGACACGAAGCAUGCGAUCGACGGGUGCGAGAGCACGCUCUGCUGGGGAGCCCAACCGACGAUCAUUCCCUUGCCGCUGACACGGUGCCUGAACUCCUCCAGCCAGCCUUCGCCGGCACCAUUGGUGAAGUUUUGCCUGAUCACCCACAGGAAUGGCCGGCCAGAAAGCACUAGCCCAUCGGCGAGCUCUUGGACCCGCGCCAUGUCGAAGACGGUGAAGCUCCCAAACGCCACGUAG